UUAAGUUCAGCGGGUAUCCCUACCUGAUCCGAGGUCAACCUGAGAAAAAAAUGGUCCAGACCGGGUCGCGCGGUCCCUGACAUGCGUGCUUGACAAAAAGCUCGUUGCAUCUGGGGUCACACUCGACACGGUCAUUAUCUUUGGGACGUGUCCUUUAACCGGACAGCGAGUCCAAUGGCAAGCCAAGCUUGACCGUGGAA
This 200-nucleotide unclassified non-coding RNA is filed under the name Leotiomycetes sp. RNAcentral describes it as "partial internal transcribed spacer 2". Lineage: Eukaryota; Fungi; Ascomycota; Leotiomycetes. The record is from RNAcentral.